GUGUUAGGCAAAUCCGGCACUCGUUAGGCUGAGCUGUGAUGGGGAGAGGAAAUUGUUUCCUCGAGUCGUUGAUUUCACACUGCCGAGAAAAGCCUCUAGAUAGAUAACAGGUGCCCGUACCGCAAACCGACACAGGUAGUCAAGAUGAGAAUUCUAAGGUGAGCGAGCGAACUCUCGUUAAGGAACUCGGCAAAAUGACCCCGUAACUUCGGGAGAAG
Molecule: ribosomal RNA, 218 nt
Filed under: Tetraselmis astigmatica
Lineage: Eukaryota; Viridiplantae; Chlorophyta; Chlorodendrophyceae; Chlorodendrales; Chlorodendraceae
Description: partial Bacterial large subunit ribosomal RNA
Rfam family: Bacterial large subunit ribosomal RNA
Source: RNAcentral